CUGGACCAAUGUCUGCCCACACUAGGAAGAACAGAUUGCUCUGCUCAUGUGAUCCAGCAACCUCCUCUGCUCCAUGAUGCCAGAAUUAAUCCCCUGUCAUCUUUUACUGAAAUAUUAGCUCCUGUGAGGCAUGCACUGUCUCAUCAUUUUUCUUAAAUCUGGAUAGAUUCAGUUCCACUUUUUAUCUGCUUCUUCAUCCUCAUUUAUUCCCUAAAAUCUUUCACACAGUUCCUAUAGAGUCAAAUCUAGUUGAGAUGUGAUUACCUACAUCUCUCUCCUCCUCUCUUUUUCCCCUUGCUCACACCAUGACGCAGCGUGUUUCUCCCUGAGGAUGGAGGAGGAAAGGUGCAGCAGAGGACAAAGCUCUCUGCCAACAUCACCAAGGGGAAGAGGGAAUACUGGGAAGCAGAGAGCCAUGAUGUCUGGGGCAUCACUGGGUUCCAGGACUCAUUUACUUCACUCAGGAAGAGUGAACAGCAAAGUGUACACCUGAGCUCCAGCUGCUGAGUGGAUCUGUGAAGCCCUUUCUCAAUGGAAGGUUCGUACUCAUUGACCACCAAGGUGAGCUUUAAAAUUUCAAGCCUUGAUCUCAGCAAUUCAUCGGCCAGCUCUGUCAGAGCUGUGUUUUUCCAAACAUGGACACUUGAGAGACCCCUAGAAAGGAGACAAAACUAGAACAGGCACAUAGAAGUCAUAAAAGAGAACCUCAAGGGGUACUGAGCAGAACAGGAGCAGAACACGAUGCCAAGAACAGGAAUACUUCAAAACAGAACAGGAUUUGGAGGCUAUGCCUAAACCAUCCAUUUCUUAUGACUUUUUAUUGAAUAGCUGACACCGUAAGAAGACAAAAAUCUAGUUGCCCUCCUGGAAAGCAGUGGGUGUUACUGAAAUCAAUACGGAGACAUAUCCUGCGAGUUGUAUUUAUUUUGGCAGUCUGAGGACAGUUGAUGGUUUAUGUGAAUAUACGAGAAGGAUUUAGCUUGAGGUGACAGGAGGUAAGCCCUCAAGCAACAGGAGAGUGGAAGUGAAACUACCCAAGAUUAGAAAUCUCAUGUUCUCUCUAGAUUAAUCUAAAUAGGGAAGACUGGAGCUGUAUAGUGUUCAGCCUACUGUACAGCAGUCCAUCAUUAAAAAUAGAAGAGGCGGAGAAGAAAAAUAAGAUGAGGGAAAAGUAAGAUUUCUCUGCUGAUAGGUUACUAAAAGGUACAUAUCUCUAAAAAAGGAGCUGUAAGGACUGAAUUUGCAUAUCUAAUCCUUGCUUUUUAAAGAUCUUUCCAAUUCCUUCAAAUUUCAAAUC
RNAcentral lists this long non-coding RNA (1297 nucleotides) under Coturnix japonica (Japanese quail). RNAcentral describes it as "lncRNA (ENSCJPG00005013415.1)". The record is from RNAcentral. Lineage: Eukaryota; Metazoa; Chordata; Aves; Galliformes; Phasianidae.